CGUAGGCGGACAUUUAAGUCAGGGGUGAAAUCCCGGGGCUCAACCUCGGAAUUGCCUUUGAUACUGGGUGUCUUGAGUAUGAGAGAGGUGUGUGGAACUCCGAGUGUAGAGGUGAAAUUCGUAGAUAUUCGGAAGAACACCAGUGGCGAAGGCGACACACUGGCUCAUUACUGACGCUGAGGCUCGAAAGCGUGGGGAGCAAACA
This 205-nucleotide ribosomal RNA is filed under the name uncultured bacterium. RNAcentral's name for it is "partial 16S ribosomal RNA". It matches the Rfam family "Bacterial small subunit ribosomal RNA", at positions 570 to 774 of the family's 1533-position model. The record is from RNAcentral.